This 513-nucleotide ribosomal RNA is filed under the name uncultured bacterium. Its description in RNAcentral is "partial 16S ribosomal RNA". It matches the Rfam family "Bacterial small subunit ribosomal RNA", at positions 28 to 523 of the family's 1533-position model. The record is from RNAcentral.
GAUGAACGCUGGCGGCGUGCCUAAUACAUGCAAGUCGAGCGAACAGACGAGGAGCUUGCUCCUCUGACGUUAGCGGCGGACGGGUGAGUAACACGUGGAUAACCUACCUAUAAGACUGGGAUAACUUCGGGAAACCGGAGCUAAUACCGGAUAAUAUAUUGAACCGCAUGGUUCAAUAGUGAAAGACGGUUUUGCUGUCACUUAUAGAUGGAUCCGCGCCGCGUUAGCUAGUUGGUAAGUUAACGGCUUACCAAGGCAACGAUGCGUAGCCGACCUGAGAGGGUGAGCGGCCACACUGGAACUGAGACACGGUCCAGACUCCUACGGGAGGCAGCAGUAGGGAAUCUUCCGCAAUGGGCGAAAGCCUGACGGAGCAACGCCGCGUGAGUGAUGAAGGUCUUCGGAUCGUAAAACUCUGUUAUUAGGGAAGAACAAAUGUGUAAGUAACUAUGCACGUCUUGACGGUACCUAAUCAGAAAGCCACGGCUACCUACGUGCCAGCCGCCGCAGUAA